GUGUUCCUCAGGGCGCGAAGUCCCUUCGACAUGAGGUGCCGUGUUUUGACGUUUCUCAGCGGAGUCCUUGUGACGCUCCUAUGCUUGUUGGUGUUGCCUCAAAAAAGUGAAUCUUUCGUGUUGCCUAUAGUGCUCUUCAAACAUUUCCCACUUUACCAUGGACAUCAUCACAAAGGCAUCGGACUAUUGCCGGUACCCAUCCCCAUACCGGUCAAACAUUUGCCCCGGAUAAAAGUGCGAAUUCAGCUUGGAGGAAAGAAGAAGAAAACUUACCAUCAUCACCACGUCGAUCACGGCGAUUGGGAUUGAGGAAUCGGUUGGUCGUCACAUGGUCGACUACUCGCGGCAUGAUUCUGACAGACGAAUACUCAAGAGAAAACUUGUU
Long non-coding RNA from Galendromus occidentalis (western predatory mite), 385 nucleotides. RefSeq lists it as uncharacterized. NCBI's taxonomy places the organism in Eukaryota, Metazoa, Arthropoda, Arachnida, Mesostigmata, Phytoseiidae. The transcript has 3 exons. The record is from RefSeq and is a predicted model, not a curated record.